This 506-nucleotide ribosomal RNA is filed under the name uncultured bacterium. RNAcentral's name for it is "partial 16S ribosomal RNA". It matches the Rfam family "Bacterial small subunit ribosomal RNA", at positions 29 to 523 of the family's 1533-position model. The record is from RNAcentral.
AUUGAACGCUGGCGGCAGGCCUAACACAUGCAAGUCGGACGGUAGCACAGAGGAGCUUGCUCCUUGGGUGACGAGUGGCGGACGGGUGAGUAAUGUCUGGGGAUCUGCCCGAUAGAGGGGGAUAACCACUGGAAACGGUGGCUAAUACCGCAUAACGUCGCAAGACCAAAGAGGGGGACCUUCGGGCCUCUCACUAUCGGAUGAACCCAGAUGGGAUUAGCUAGUAGGCGGGGUAAGGGCCCACCUAGGCGACGAUCCCUAGCUGGUCUGAGAGGAUGACCAGCCACACUGGAACUGAGACACGGUCCAGACUCCUACGGGAGGCAGCAGUAGGGAAUAUUGCACAAUGGGCGCAAGCCUGAUGCAGCCAUGCCGCGUGUAUGAAGAAGGCCUUCGGGUUGUAUAGUACUUUCAGCGGGGAGGAAGGCGGUGAGGUUAAUAACCUCGCCGAUUGACGUUACCCGCAGAAGAAGCACCGGCUAACUCCGUGCCAGCAGCCGCCGUAA